CCUUGAUUUACUGGGUGUAAAGGGCGUGUAGGCGGUUCUGCAAGUCAGAUGUGAAAUUUUCGGGCUUAACCCGGAAGCUGCAUCUGAAACUGCAGAACUUGAGUACUGGAGAGGAUAGCGGAAUUCCUAUUGUAGCGGUAAAAUGCGUAGAUAUUAGGAGGAACACCAAUGGCGAAGGCGACUAUCUGGACAGGAACUGACGCUGAGGCGCGAAAGCGUGGGGAGCAAAGAGGAUUAGAUACCCUGGUACUCCACGCCGUAAACUAUGAAUACUAGGUGUAGGGGGUAUCGACUCCCCCUGUGCCUUGACUAACGCAAUACCUAUUCCACCUGGGGAGUACGGCCGCAAGGUUGAAACUCAAAGGAAUUGACGGGGGCCCGCACAAGCAGUGGAUUAUGUGUUUUAAUUUUAAGCCACGAUAACAACCUUACCAGGGCUUGACAUCCUCUGACCGCCGUAUAUAUGUGGCUUCCCUUCAGGGCAUAGAGACGGGGGGCGCAUGAUUGUCCGCCGCGCGUGUGGUGAUAUGGUGGGUUAUAUCCAACAACGAGCACACACUCUUGUGUCUGUUGCCCUCCUAUAUUUGUGAAUUUUGGCGAGACUGCCGUGCUCACCACGGAGGAGAGUGGGGACGACGUCUACUCCUCAUGCGCCUUGUGUCCUGCCCUCACCACGUAUUAUUUUGUAACGACAGGGGGCAACUACCCCGCGAGCGAGAGUGAUUUCCUAACCUUUGUUUCACUUCGGAUUGUACGGUGCAAAUCGCCUGCAUCAACUCUGAAGUGCGAUCUAUAGCAAAUUAAC
This 805-nucleotide ribosomal RNA is filed under the name uncultured bacterium. RNAcentral's name for it is "bacterial SSU rRNA". It matches the Rfam family "Bacterial small subunit ribosomal RNA", at positions 544 to 1353 of the family's 1533-position model. The record is from RNAcentral.